UACGAAGGGUGCAAGCGUUACUCGGAAUUACUGGGCGUAAAGCGUGCGUAGGUGGUUCGUUAAGUCUGAUGUGAAAGCCCUGGGCUCAACCUGGGAAUGGCAUUGGAAACUGGCGACCUAGAGUGCGGUAGAGGGUAGUGGAAUUCCCGGUGUAGCAGUGAAAUGCGUAGAGAUCGGGAGGAACAUCUGUGGCGAAGGCGACUGCCUGGACGAGCACUGACACUGAGGCACGAAAGCGUGGGGAGCAAACAGG
This 253-nucleotide ribosomal RNA is filed under the name uncultured bacterium. RNAcentral describes it as "partial 16S ribosomal RNA". It matches the Rfam family "Bacterial small subunit ribosomal RNA", at positions 524 to 776 of the family's 1533-position model. The record is from RNAcentral.